RNAcentral lists this ribosomal RNA (492 nucleotides) under uncultured bacterium. RNAcentral's name for it is "partial 16S ribosomal RNA". It matches the Rfam family "Bacterial small subunit ribosomal RNA", at positions 29 to 507 of the family's 1533-position model. The record is from RNAcentral.
AGUGAACGCUGGCGGUAGGCCUAACACAUGCAAGUCGAACGGCAGCACAGUAAGAGCUUGCUCUUACGGGUGGCGAGUGGCGGACGGGUGAGGAAUACAUCGGAAUCUACUUUUUCGUGGGGGAUAACGUAGGGAAACUUACGCUAAUACCGCAUACGACCUACGGGUGAAAGCAGUGGAUCUUCGCACCUUGCGCGAUUGAAUGAGCCGAUGUCGGAUUAGCUAGUUGGCGGGGUAAAGGCCCACCAAGGCGACGAUCCGUAGCUGGUCUGAGAGGAUGAUAAGCCACACUGGAACUGAGACACGGUCCAGACUACUAAGGGAGGCAGCAGUGGGGAAUAUUGGACAAUGGGCGCAAGCCUGAUCCAGCCAGACCGCGUGGGUGAAGAAGGCGUUCGGGUUGUAAAGACCUUUUGUUGGGAAAGAAAAGCAGCAGGUUAAGACCACGCUGUUCUGACGGUAACCAAAGAAUAAGCACCGGCUAACUUCGUG